CUUAAGGUUGUUUCAACACUUUGACAAAAACUCUCCGUUUUCUUUGAGCCAGCACCCAAACUCUCCCUAUUCAGAAUUGUCUUCCAGCCAAACAGCCAUCACUCACCCAAUACGAAAAUCAGUCUAUUUGAAUCACCCAAAACUAAAAGGGAAAUCUUCGAUUGGGAAUCCGGGUCUUCAAUUUGGAUUAGUAGGUUAGGGUUCUUCAAUUGGAAACCCGAUUAAGUCACUCUCUCUUUCUCGCUCGUAUUCUCCGGCGCGACACCAACAACUUGUCUUCUUCUCUAUAACAAUCAUCGUUUCUCACCUUCUUCACCUCUAUAACUGCCAUGGAGGAGAAAGAAAGCACACAGAUGAGAAAGAAUUCGAGGAGAGAGAAAACAGAUCUGGGAUUUCUCUCUCCUCCAUUGUUAACGAGCAUGGGUAUGGGUAGCAGAACCUCUCUUUUCGAUCACCAAGUCCUCCUCUUGGCCUCACUGGUGCCUUUGGGGGUUGCAAAAUAGUUUGCAAAGUCUUUCUCCCUUGUGAUUGUUUCAGAUGCUUUGGAUUACCUCUUAAAAUAUCUGAUAGGACUCUUCCAGAAAUUGCAGGGGUGUGUCUAUAUAAAUGUUACUCUAUUUGCUUAUGUUAUAAGUUAAUGGGUUCAAGUAUACAUGGUUAUCCGGCAAUCGACUCUAUUUUAUAAAAGGAUUGACCUAUCAAAUCUUCUAAUAGGUUGUGUUGCGUAUCAUUUUCUCAGAUGUGUUGGGUUUUAUUUUCUCAAAAAGGAUAUAAUUGGUUUAGAUUUGAUUCAAAUUUAGGGAUAAUUUGAUCUUUUGCAGCAGAGAAAGCUAUGGAGGUAGGAGAAGAGAUGAAGCAAACAAAGUGGAAGGGAAGUGUUCAAAAGAAAAUUUGGGGUUGAGCAGUUAAGUCAAUUGGAUUUUGCCUUUGUUUCUAAUGCAUAACACCAUAUCAUGAGUCUAAAAUUCGCCGGAUUGAUUGCUGCUAUAGCUUCAUAUCUGCCAGAAAUCACAAUGAAUGAUUUUUACACGUCUUCACUUGCUGUCCUACUUCUACACAAUGUGAACAUAUAUAGAUACAUAACUCCAUAUGGUUGAUUACAUGGUGGUAUAUAUGGCUAAGACAUGUCCUCUUUAUAUAGAUUGCUUGAUUCAUAAGUCAAAAGUAAAAACAAUUAAGAUGAGAGUAACUUCAAUUUUGUGUUAUUUGCAGUGUUUGGCUGUAACUAUAUGUAGUACGAUAGGGUUUGCAUUUUAAAAUGAGUGAUUAUUUUACUUUGUGAAGCGUGUCUUCAAUACCUACUGUGUGAAUGGUAAGAGAUUUGAUUUUCUUGUUAAUGGAUUUAGGUGUUGAGUGCUCCAUACCUCCAAAGCAUGCCAACAGCUAAGAUGCAAGUGAGAUUGAGUGGGACAUAAUAGCAAGAAUUGUCAAUUAUAUUUUGAAAUUUUCUUUGGGUUAUAUAACAUUAAUUGAAUGUAAUAUGCCAUGAUUAGGUGACUUCCUAAUUAUCAGUGAUGGUAUUAGCAAAGUGGUGUGAAGCUCAUGGAUCAAACAUGCUGCUCUUUUCUUCACACCUAUGUGUAUACUUUAAGGUAGCUGAGAGCUUGGAGCUGGUGAGAAGAAACUUAAUUGUAGUUGAUAAAGAGUGAAAACAUUUGUUGCUUGAUAACUGAGAUCCUCAAGCUAGUAAGAAGGACAUACUCAUUCUGGAUUCUGCAAAAGAGAGGAAAAAUAUUGAUCCAAUGGGCGCACCAUUUUCUGCUUCUGCUGGCAUAUUAUAAUAUUCACAUGCAGCAGCUACUCAUGUUUUUUUCAAUAAUCAUAUUAGUUUUUGAUGGUUUAUGUAUAUUGAUAAUGGCAUGGCACUAGAACGCUAUCUUGUUUUGGAAUAAUUUGUAUCAGUUUUGGAUAUCCCAAGUAGAUGGGCAUGUAUUAGAAUACUUAUUUUCUUUUAAUGUUGGCUUGGAUGAUUAUUAGGAAAUGCUCCCUUUUAACAUUUGAUGUAUAUAGAAUGGGUUGGAUUACUCAUUUGAUGGUUUGUAAUGUGUUUUCU
Molecule: long non-coding RNA, 2053 nt
Organism: Rosa rugosa (rugosa rose)
Lineage: Eukaryota; Viridiplantae; Streptophyta; Magnoliopsida; Rosales; Rosaceae
Exons: 4
Source: RefSeq, a predicted model, not a curated record